Molecule: ribosomal RNA, 478 nt
Filed under: uncultured bacterium
Lineage: Bacteria
Description: bacterial SSU rRNA
Rfam family: Bacterial small subunit ribosomal RNA
Source: RNAcentral
AUUGAACGCUGGCGGCAUGCCUUACACAUGCAAGUCGAACGGCAGCACGGGAGCAAUCCUGGUGGCGAGUGGCGAACGGGUGAGUAAUAUAUCGGAACGUGCCAGUCGUGGGGGAUAACGUAGCGAAAGCUACGCUAAUACCGCAUACGAUCUAUGGAUGAAAGCGGGGGGAUCGCAAGACCUCGCGCGAUUGGAGCGGCCGAUAUCAGAUUAGGUAGUUGGUGAGGUAAAGGCUCACCAAGCCAACGAUCUGUAGCUGGUCUGAGAGGGAGAUCCCCCACACUGGUACUGAGACACGGACCAGACUCCUACGGGAGGCAGCAGUGAGGAAUAUUGGUCAAUGGACGCAAGUCUGAACCAGCCAUGCCGCGUGCAGGAUGACGGUCCUAUGGAUUGUAAACUGCUUUGUACGAGAAGAAACAACAUUACGUGUAAUGUCUUGACGGUAUCGUAAGAAUAAGGAUCGGCUAACUCCGUG